This 640-nucleotide ribosomal RNA is filed under the name embryophyte environmental sample. RNAcentral describes it as "eukaryotic LSU rRNA". The stretch from base 233 to 388 matches the Rfam family "5.8S ribosomal RNA". Lineage: Eukaryota; Viridiplantae; Streptophyta. The record is from RNAcentral.
AAGGAGAAGUCGUAACAAGGUUUCCGUAGGUGAACCUGGCGGAAGGAUCAUGUUCGAAACCUGCCUAGCAGAGCUCGGCCUAUGCCUCGACCACCUCCCCUCCACGGAGUGGGUGGGGGCUCGAGGCAAAAGAACCCACGGCGCCGAAGGCGUCAAGGAACACUGUGCCUAACACGGGGCCAUGGCUAGCUUGCUAGCUGUGACUCGUGUUGCAAAGCUAUUUAAUCCACACGACUCUCGGCAACGGAUAUCUCGGCUCUCGCAUCGAUGAAGAACGUAGCGAAAUGCGAUACCUGGUGUGAAUUGCAGAAUCCCGCGAACCAUCGAGUCUUUGAACGCAAGUUGCGCCCGAGGCCACUCGGCCGAGGGCACGCCUGCCUGGGCGUCACGCCAAAACACGCUCCCACACCCCUCAUUGGGAAUCGGGAUGCGGCAUCUGGUCCCUCGUCUCGCAAGGGGCGGUGGACCGAAGUUCGGGCUGCCGGCGUACCGUGUCAAACACAGCGCGUGGUGGGCGUCUUUGCUUUAUCAACGCAGUGCAUACGACGCGUAGCCGGCAUGAUGGCCUCAAAACGACCCAACAAACGUAGCGCACGUCGCUUCGACCGCGACCCCACGUCAGGCGGGACUACCCGCUGAG